CGACCCCAGGUCAUGCGGGGUUACCCGCUGAAUUUAAUCA
RNAcentral lists this ribosomal RNA (40 nucleotides) under Crataegus kansuensis. RNAcentral's name for it is "partial 26S ribosomal RNA". The record is from RNAcentral. Lineage: Eukaryota; Viridiplantae; Streptophyta; Magnoliopsida; Rosales; Rosaceae.